GGGGGGUUAGCUCAGUUGGUAGAGCACCUGCCUUGCAAGCAGGGGGUCAGCGGUUCGAAUCCGCUACUCUCCA
RNAcentral lists this transfer RNA (73 nucleotides) under Tumebacillus permanentifrigoris. RNAcentral's name for it is "tRNA-Ala". It matches the Rfam family "tRNA". Rfam says of the family: Transfer RNA (tRNA) molecules are approximately 80 nucleotides in length. Their secondary structure includes four short double-helical elements and three loops (D, anti-codon, and T loops). Lineage: Bacteria; Bacillati; Bacillota; Bacilli; Caryophanales; Alicyclobacillaceae. The record is from RNAcentral.